This 711-nucleotide ribosomal RNA is filed under the name bacterium enrichment culture clone SC-1_25. RNAcentral describes it as "bacterial SSU rRNA". It matches the Rfam family "Bacterial small subunit ribosomal RNA", at positions 39 to 747 of the family's 1533-position model. The record is from RNAcentral.
GCGGCGUGCCUAACACAUGCAAGUCGAACGGCAGCGCGGGGCAACCUGGCGGCGAGCGGCGAACGGGCGAGUAAUACAUCGGAACGUACCCAGAAGUGGGGGAUAACGUAGCGAAAGUUACGCUAAUACCGCAUACGUUCUACGGAAGAAAGUGGGGGACCUUCGGGCCUCAUGCUUUUGGAGCGGCCGAUGUCUGAUUAGCUAGUUGGNNNNGUAAAGGCUCACCAAGGCGACGAUCAGUAGCUAGUCUGAGAGGACGACCAGCCACACUGGGACUGAGACACGGCCCAGACUCCUACGGGAGGCAGCAGUGGGGAAUUUUGGACAAUGGGCGCAAGCCUGAUCCAGCAAUGCCGCGUGAGUGAAGAAGGCCUNCNNGUUGUAAAGCUCUUUUGUCAGGGAAGAAACGGCUGGGGCUAAUAUCCCCGGCUAAUGACGGUACUUGAAGAAUAAGCACCGGCUAACUACGUGCCAGCAGCCGCGGUAAUACGUAGGGUGCAAGCGUUAAUCGGAAUUACUGGGCGUAAAGCGUGCGCAGGCGGUUUUGUAAGUCUGACGUGAAAUCCCCGGGCUUAACCUGGGAACUGCAUUGGUGACUGCAAGGCUUGAGUAUGGCAGAGGGGGGUAGAAUUCCACGUGUAGCAGUGAAAUGCGUAGAGAUGUGGAGGAAUACCGAUGGCGAACGCAGCCCCCUGGGUCAAUACUGACGCU